This 435-nucleotide ribosomal RNA is filed under the name uncultured bacterium. Its description in RNAcentral is "partial 16S ribosomal RNA". It matches the Rfam family "Bacterial small subunit ribosomal RNA", at positions 29 to 507 of the family's 1533-position model. The record is from RNAcentral.
AACGAACGCUGGCGGCAUGCCUAACACAUGCAAGUCGAACGAUUGCCUUCGGGUGAUAGUGGCGCACGGGUGCGUAACGCGUGGGAAUCUGCCCUUAGGUUCGGAAUAACAGCUGGAAACGGCUGCUAAUACCGGAUGAUAUCGCGAGAUCAAAGAUUUAUCGCCUGAGGAUGAGCCCGCGUUGGAUUAGGUAGUUGGUGGGGUAAAGGCCUACCAAGCCGACGAUCCAUAGCUGGUCUGAGAGGAUGAUCAGCCACACUGGGACUGAGACACGGCCCAGACUCCUACGGGAGGCAGCAGUGGGGAAUAUUGGACAAUGGGCGCAAGCCUGAUCCAGCAAUGCCGCGUGAGUGAUGAAGGCCAUAGGGUUGUAAAGCUCUUUUACCCGGGAAGAUAAUGACUGUACCGUGAGAAUAAGCCCCGGCUAACUCCGUG